Molecule: long non-coding RNA, 433 nt
Filed under: Homo sapiens (human)
Lineage: Eukaryota; Metazoa; Chordata; Mammalia; Primates; Hominidae
Description: non-protein coding lnc-PTBP2-10:1
Source: RNAcentral
AGGGAAGUUCAACUCCUUUGUGACUUCUGACAGCAAGAAAGAACCAUAAAAGGUAUUUCAAUGCACCUUCCCAUGUUCACAGAACAAUUAUGUCUUCCCUCUUUCCAAAGAGCUGAGAUAGAAGUACAAUGUUUGAUCCAUGCCCAUCUGAAAGGAUGAUGAAGUUCAGGUUGUGUGAGGACACUAAAAAGUUCAGCAAGUUGGCAAAGUGGUCCAAGGUUACAGGAAGAAUUAUGUCAUUUACAUUGAACGGGUGCAGCAGAAAAAGACUGGGCUAAUAGGACAACUAUUCGUUUGGGCAUUGCCCCAGCAAGGUGGUUAUUAGGUUGGAAGUGAAAAAAACCCACAAAAGAUCCUUGAAUGGAAAGCCAAAUCUCACCAAGUGGGAAAGGAACAGGACAAACAUAAGAUAGAAACGAUAGAGAUGGUGCAG